CACGCCCUAAACGAUGUCAACUGGUUGUUGGGGUUUUCGAACCUUAGUAACGAAGCUAACGCGAGAAGUUGACCGCCUGGGGAGUACGGCCGCAAGGUUAAAACUCAAAGGAAUUGACGGGGGCCCGCACAAGCGGUGGAUGAUGUGGAUUAAUUCGAUGCAACGCGAAAAACCUUACCUGGUCUUGACAUGUACGGAAUCUUUUAGAGAUAGAAGAGUGCCUUCGGGAGCCGUAACACAGGUGC
Molecule: ribosomal RNA, 245 nt
Filed under: uncultured bacterium
Lineage: Bacteria
Description: partial 16S ribosomal RNA
Rfam family: Bacterial small subunit ribosomal RNA
Source: RNAcentral